GUACAAACAUCACCCACCAUGUUCUCUACAUCUCUACUGCUCCUGCUGGCAGCUGCUUCCUAUGUGCAUGGUGAGGAACUGACUCAGCCUGCUUCCAUGACAGUCCAGCCAGGCCAGAGUCUCUCCAUCAACUGCAAGGUUUCAUAUUCAGUUACGAGCUAUUACACACACUGGAUUCGACAACCUGCAGGAAAAGCUCUGGAGUGGAUUGGACGUGUUUAUAGUGGGGGUACAGAUUACAAUGACAAACUGAAAAAUAAAUUCAGCUUCUCCAGUGACACGUCUACUAACACAAUAACAAUUCGAGGACAGAACAUGCAGACUGAAGACACAGCUGUGUAUUACUGCGCUAGUCAACCACAGUGA
This is a non-coding RNA of Silurus meridionalis, 366 nucleotides long. Lineage: Eukaryota; Metazoa; Chordata; Actinopteri; Siluriformes; Siluridae. The record is from the annotation of a RefSeq genome assembly.